This 440-nucleotide ribosomal RNA is filed under the name uncultured bacterium. Its description in RNAcentral is "partial 16S ribosomal RNA". It matches the Rfam family "Bacterial small subunit ribosomal RNA", at positions 338 to 795 of the family's 1533-position model. The record is from RNAcentral.
CCUACGGGAGGCAGCAGUGGGGAAUAUUGCACAAUGGGGGAAACCCUGAUGCAGCGACGCCGCGUGAGUGAAUAAGUAUUUCGGUAUUGAAAACUCUGUCAGCAGGGGAGAAAAUGACGGUACCUGAACAAGAAGCCGCGGCUAACUACGUUCCAGCAGCCGCGGUAAUACGUAGGGGGCAAGCGUUAUCCGGGUUUACUGGGUGUAAAGGGUGCGUAGACGGCAGGGAAAGUCUGGAGUGAAAGGCGGGGGCUCAACCCCCGGACUGCACAGGAAACUGCCAGUCUGGAGUGAAGGAGAGGUAAGGGGAAUUCCUGGUGUAGCGGUGAAAUGCGUAGAUAUUAGGAGGAACACCAGUGGCGAAGGCGGCUUACUGGACUGUAACUGACGUUGAGGCUCGAAAGCGAGGGGAGCAAAAGGGAUUAGAUACCCUAGUAGUC